GUGGCCAGCGGCAGGCUCCGGCCAGCCCGCACUGGGCAUGCGCAGGACUAGAGCGCCAGGUCGGCGGGUUGCCGUGAUGAGCCCGGAAGCGGCAGCGCGCGCCCCUCCGCGCGAGAACUAGUUUCGUUCCGCUUCCUUGGGACUGAGUCCUGGGAGAAAGCUCUGCAGGAGUCCCGAGUCUCGCCCGCGCUGGGACCAUGUCCAGCAACAGCUUCGUUUACAAUGAGCAGUCCGGAGGAGGGGAGGCGGCGGAGCUGGGGCAAGAGGCGACCGCGACCAUUUCCCCCGCGGGCGCCUUCGGCCUCUUCAGCAGCGAUUUAAAGAAAUGAUUGCAAAGGGGAAGAAUGCAUCUGAGCUAUUUCCUGCUGUUGUGAAGAAUGUGGCUAGUAAAAAUAUUGAGAUCAAGAAGUUGGUAUAUGUUUACCUGGUCCGCUAUGCUGAGGAACAGCAGGAUCUGGCACUCCUGUCCAUAAGCACUUUUCAGCGAGCCCUGAAGGACCCAAACCAAUUAAUUCGUGCAAGUGCUUUGAGAGUUCUCUCAAGUAUUAGAGUGCCAAUAAUUGUGCCUAUCAUGAUGCUCGCUAUAAAGGAAGCAUCUGCUGACUUAUCACCAUAUGUCAGGAAGAAUGCAGCUCAUGCAAUACAGAAACUGUACAGCCUUGAUCCAGAACAGAAGGAAAUGUUAAUUGAAGUAAUUGAAAAACUUUUGAGAGAUAAAAGCACACUGGUAGCUGGCAGUGUUGUGAUGGCUUUUGAAGAAGUAUGCCCUGAUAGAAUAGAUCUGAUUCACAAGAAUUACCGCAAGCUAUGUAACUUACUAGUUGAUGUGGAAGAGUGGGGGCAGGUGGUCAUAAUCCACAUGCUAACUCGUUAUGCUCGUACACAGUUUGUCAGCCCUUGGAAAGAGGAUGGUGGCCUAGAGGACAAUGAAAAAAGUUUCUAUGAAUCUGAUGAUGAACAGAAGGAAAAGACUGACAGAAGGAAGAAGCCGUACGCCAUGGAUCCAGACCACAGACUCUUAAUUAGAAACACAAAACCUUUGCUUCAGAGCAGGAAUGCAGCGGUGGUUAUGGCAGUUGCUCAGCUGUAUUGGCACAUAUCCCCAAAAUCAGAAACUGGCAUUAUUUCUAAAUCACUUGUGCGCUUACUUCGUAGCAACAGGGAGGUGCAGUAUAUUGUCCUACAAAAUAUAGCAACUAUGUCAAUUCAAAGAAAGGGCAUAUUUGAACCUUAUCUGAAGAGUUUCUAUGUUAGGUCAACUGAUCCAACUAUGAUCAAGACAUUGAAGCUUGAAAUUUUGACAAACUUAGCAAAUGAAGCCAACAUAUCAACUCUUCUUCGAGAAUUUCAGACCUAUGUGAAAAGUCAGGAUAAACAGUUUGCAGCAGCCACUAUUCAGACAAUAGGCAGAUGUGCGGCCAACAUCUCAGAAGUCGCCGACACCUGCCUCAACGGCCUGGUCUGUCUGCUCUCCAACAGGGAUGAAAUAGUUGUUGCAGAAAGUGUGGUUGUUAUAAAGAAAUUACUGCAAAUGCAACCUGCACAACAUGGUGAAAUUAUUAAACAUAUGGGCAAACUCUUGGACAGUAUCACUGUUCCUGUGGCUAGAGCAAGUAUUCUUUGGCUAAUUGGAGAAAACUGUGAACGAGUUCCUAAAAUUGCCCCUGAUGUUUUGAGGAAGAUGGCUAAAAGCUUCACUAGUGAAGAUGAUCUGGUAAAACUGCAGAUAUUAAAUCUGGGAGCAAAACUGUAUUUAACCAACUCCAAACAGACAAAAUUGCUUACCCAGUAUGUAUUAAAUCUCGGCAAGUAUGAUCAGAACUACGACAUCAGAGACCGUACAAGAUUUAUUAGGCAGCUUAUUGUUCCGAAUGAGAAGAGUGGAGCUUUAAGUAAAUAUGCCAAAAAAAUAUUCCUAGCACAGAAACCUGCACCACUGCUUGAGUCUCCUUUUAAAGAUAGGGAGCAUUUCCAGCUUGGCACCUUAUCUCAUACUCUCAACAUUAAAGCUUCUGGGUACCUGGAAUUAUCUAAUUGGCCAGAGGUGGCGCCGGACCCAUCGGUUAGAAAUGUGGAAGUAAUAGAGUUGGCAAAAGAAUGGACCCCAGCAGGCAAAGCAAAGAAAGAAAACCCUUCUAAAAAAUUUUACUCUGAAUCUGAGGAAGAAGAGGACUCUUCUGAUAGCGGCAGUGACAGUGAGAGUGAAUCUGGAAGUGAGAGUGGAGAUGAUGGGGCCAGUAGUGAGGACACCAGCGAGGACAGCGAGGACUCAUCCAAUGAGCAGGAGAGUGAGAAUGGGAGUGUGGCAGAAGACAAAGCAGCUACCAAAAGGAAUCCAGAAACCAAAGGGGAAAGUGAUUCUGAAGAUGGGGAGAAGAAAAAUAAGAAAUCUCAAACUUCAGAUUCUUCUAAUGUUGAAUCUAGUUCAAUAGAAGAAAGUUCUUCAGAGUCUGAAUCACAAUCUGAAAAUGAAUCUGAAUCCAGAAAAGUCACUAAGGAGAAAGAAAAAAAACUAAAGCAAGAUAGAAUUUCUCUUACCAAAGAUGUCUCACUUCUAGACCUAGAUGAUUUUAACCCUAUAUCCACUCCAGUUGCACUUCCCACACCAGUACUUUCUCCGAGCUUGAUAGCUGAUCUUGAAGGUUUAAACUUGUCAACUUCCUCAUCUGUCAUCAGCGUCAGUACUCCUGUCUUUGUACCAGUGAAAACACAUGUGCUGCUUCAUCGGAUGAGUGGAAAAGGACUGGCUGCCCAUUAUUUCUUUCCAAGACAGCCUUGCAUUUUUGGUGAUAAGAUGGUCUCUGUGCAGAUAACAUUGGAAAAUACUUCUGACCAGAAGAUAGAAAAUAUCCACAUAGGGGGAAAAAAACUUCCUAUAGGCAUGCAAAUGCAUAUUUUUAAUCCAAUAGACUCUCUUGAGCCUAAGGGAUCCAUUACUGUUUCAAUGGGUAUUGACUUCUGUGAUUCUACACAGACUGCCAGUUUCCAGUUGUGCACCAAGGACAAUUGCUUCAAUGUUAAUAUUCAGCCACCUAUUGGAGAACUGCUUUUACCUGUGGCCAUGUCAGAGAAAGACUUUAAGAAAGAGCAAGCCUGCCUCUCUGCUUUACACCUGCUCAGCAAACCAAGGUAUGCUGACAGGUAUGAAUGAAACUUCUGCUACAAUCAUCACUGCACCACAGAAUUUCACUCCCUCAGUGAUCCUCCAGAAGGUUGUGAAUGUAGCCAAUAUGGGUGCAGUUCCUUCUGGCCAAGAUAAGAUACACAGGUUUGCAGCUAAAACUGUGCACAGUGGGUCAUUGAUGCUAGUCACAGUGGAACUGAAGGAAGAAGGCUCCACAGCCCAGCUUAUCAUAAACACUGAGAAGACUGUGAUUGGUUCUGUUCUGCUGCGGGAGCUGAAGCCUGUCCUGUCCCAGGGGUAACCUGCUUACAUCUGGACUUCAGAAUCUGGCACACAACAAAAGUGCCUGGCAUCCACUACUGCUGCCUUUCAUUUAUAAUAAUAGCCCUUCCAUCUGGCAUUGGGGGAAGAAUACACUCUUGACAUUCUUGUCUCCUGCUUUAGAAUGCUAGUGUGUAUCCAUCAUGUAUGCAGUGUUUUCCCCCUUUUUGCUUUGCUAACCAAAGAACAUAUAUUUUACUGUCAGUUAUUUUAACUCUUGAAUCUAUGUGGCAUUUUCUCUGUCCUCCUAUUUCUUUUGGCCUCCUCAUCUUCCUCCUCUUUUUCAACAAUGAUAGCCACAAAUCAGAUAUUAAAAGUGCAUUGGAAAUCAUCUUCCCUUCAGCAGUAAGCCAGAAUUAGCAAAGAAAUAGUCUAAAUGGUCUCUCAGCUGGGUAUAUGAAAAUGAGAUAAUAUACUUCUUAGAAUUAAAUGCAAAAACAUGAGCUCUGCAAAAUUUUGUUCUUUGAAUUUCCUGGUAUUUUUGAUGGAUUAUUGACAACUGUCAUUGUGAAAUUAUCCCGACAUAAUAAGAUAAAUAAACUAGUAUAUGAAUAGCA
Non-coding RNA from Heterocephalus glaber (naked mole-rat), 4002 nucleotides. Lineage: Eukaryota; Metazoa; Chordata; Mammalia; Rodentia; Bathyergidae. The record is from RefSeq and is a predicted model, not a curated record.